This 152-nucleotide ribosomal RNA is filed under the name uncultured Rhodocyclaceae bacterium. RNAcentral describes it as "partial 16S ribosomal RNA". It matches the Rfam family "Bacterial small subunit ribosomal RNA", at positions 381 to 525 of the family's 1533-position model. The record is from RNAcentral. Lineage: Bacteria; Pseudomonadati; Pseudomonadota; Betaproteobacteria; Rhodocyclales; Rhodocyclaceae.
GCCUGAUCCAGCCAUGCCGCGUGAGUGAAGAAGGCCUUCGGGUUGUAAAGCUCUUUCAGUUGGGAAGAAAAGGCGCGCUCUAACAUAGCGCGCUGCUGACGGUACCGACAGAAGAAGCACCGGCUAACUACGUGCCAGCAGCCGCGGUAAUA